UACAGAGACUGCAAGCGUUAUUCGGAUUCACUGGGCGUAAAGGGUGCGCAGGCGGCCAAGUGUGUCAGGUGUGAAAUCCCGAGGCUUAACCUCGGAACUGCGCCUGAAACUACUUGGCUAGAGUACUGGAGAGGGUAACGGAAUUCACGGUGUAGCAGUGAAAUGCGUAGAUAUCGUGAGGAACACCAGAGGCGAAGGCGGUUACCUGGACAGUUACUGACGCUCAGGCACGAAAGCGUGGGGAGCAAAAAGGG
Molecule: ribosomal RNA, 254 nt
Filed under: uncultured bacterium
Lineage: Bacteria
Description: partial 16S ribosomal RNA
Rfam family: Bacterial small subunit ribosomal RNA
Source: RNAcentral